CAAAAAUUUGGGUGUUAGAGGGUUAAAUAUAAGGCAUAACUCGUAAGCACAGCCUAUGCUUAAUGGAAUGAAACCUACAAUCUCUGUCUAUAGGACUAGAUGGUCUGUCGACCUUUUAUUUUUUGAAUCUUUUGUUCUUUAGACCUUUUGAUCCAGUUAUUUUGUUUAACCUUCUUUUCCUUCAAUCUUUUCGACCUUCUUUUCCUUCGACCUUGUGACCUCCAAACUUUCGUCUUUUCGACCUUUUGACACAGAUUCUGAAGGAGGGUGUUAAGUGUACAACACUGCUGUCUAAUGCCCUCUUCUAUGACUGACACCAAUUUGUUUUUACUGUUUGCUUUUUACCAUUGUCCACAACAAUCCAAACUAUGUUACUUAAAAUAAAAAAUCUACAAUUAGUGUUCAAUCGGUUUUUUACAUUGAGAUACGGAUUACCUUACAACAGUUUACCUUACAAAAAAAUUAACGAGUAAGGAAAAAAAAAAUUAAAACAACCUUAGAAAUUAUUAGAACGAACGAAACAGAGGAGAAAAAGUGUUCACGCGCCUUCAAGCUAGUUGCAGUAGAGGAUUUGUAAGGGAGAAGCAGCUUAUGCGAAAUUUCGGCAUCAGUCUUAAACACCAAUCUUCAUCAUCCUCUAUCAUUUCGAUUGCUGCUAGUUGAUGCACUUCAACUGUUGGGCGAGAGGGUUGCAAGUUUGGGAUCAUUCUGAGAAGCCGGUUUUGUUUCACUUGGAUGUUUUUCCGAUGGGUACGAGAACAGUCAUGCCACGCAGGAAAUUCGUAAGUAUUCAUAGGCCUGAAAAACGAUGUUGUACAGCAAUAUUUUAGCAACUUAACAACUUGCGCUGGUUGGAGUUGGUCCACGACUAGCUUAGCAUCACGAUGGAAAGAAAGAAUUCCGGUGUCAUCAGCAAAAGAGUAGUACUAGACACCGUUGAUUCUGGUGAGAUCGGCAGAGAAGAUGUUAUACAGUGUUGGGAUCAGUACCGAUCCUUGAGGAAUCCCGUAGGGAACACCCAAGGGAUCAGAGGUGCAACCGUUCGUCCUGACAUAAACUCUGUUACUUAUUAUCUCAUUAUCUGAUGCAAGCAAAUUUUUGUUUUUCAGGCGACAAAUAUGGUUUCUCCGAUAACCAUGGAUUCUCUGAGCGAGCCAUGUACGAUUUCUCGUCCCGGGGAACGCAAUGUUUAGUGUACGAUGGAUUCUACUACAGUAAGAAUAAAACCAGCGAGGGCGGUAUUCGGGUCAACUGGAAAUGUCGUUACUACCAGCGAUUCAAGUGCAAAGCCAGAGCUCUCACCAAAACCAUCCACGGAUGUGACUUUGUGCGGGUGUCCAGUACGGAGCAUACGCACUUGCGCGAGAUGUUCUGCAAGGAUUUGCGAAGAAAACGCCGCAAAGUCAAUACAUUUGAUUCUGCAGUUUUUAAUUACUAGAAGCAAGGAAGACAGAACCACCCGAUUGAAGUUACUGAAAUUACGAUGCCAUUAUUUUUGGAAAAUUAAAACAGGUUAAACAAAAUGUAACGUUAUCUACGUGCUAUCGAAACGUGGUAGCAAGCAUCUAUUUCACGAUGGAAAUACGUAUACUCCGAACGAGCGGCCCUACCCGGGACAACGUUCCAGAACGUGGAAGUGUACAUUGUAUUAUCGACUGAAAUGUAAAGCACGCAUAGUCACCAGCGAAGGUGGCAGUCUACCCAAGUUGCGUGUGGUGGUUGCUGAACACACCCACGAGAAACCGUUUCCCCAUUUGAGUGCGAAGUUUCGAAGUCUAUUCUGAUCCAAAGAACACAUCUAGUCAGUCAUUGUCAAAUGAUAUUUAUUGAAGUCUUUUGAAAAAUAAAUGUUCGAGUGAUUGAAGGAUUUGGUACUGCUAUUUCUCCAUGAAUAAAAAAAAAACAAACGCAAUAUGUUUCCAAAUUACUUGCAGCUGUCAACUACAGUUUCUCCGAUAACUUUGGCUUCUCUGAGCGAGCGGUUUAUGAAUUCACGCCCCGGGGAACUCAAAGUCUGGUCUACGAUGGAUUCUAUUUCAGCAAAAAUAAAACUAGUGAAGGCGGUAUACGGGUUAACUGGCAAUGUCGUCACUAUCAGCGAUUUAAAUGCAAAGCAAGAGCCCUCACUAAAACUAUUGAUGGGUGUGAUUUUGUGAGGGUUUCCAGUACGAAACAUACGCACUCGCGUGAGAUGUUUCUCAAAGAUGUGUGGCAAAAACGUCGCAAGUGAAACAUUCCCAAAAUAAAUACAUCCAUGCAUCAAUGAAAGAUAGUAAGAUUAUGAGUGUAGCAACACUUAAAAUGCCAUUCAGAGUGAUUCUCGCAAGAAGGGGAACCAUUAGAAUUAUCCGGAAUGGAAGCAAACGAAUCAUUAGCUUUUUGGAAAAUAAAUAUUCUGCGGUCUUAGAGAAUUUGGUUCGUACGACUGGGGCUCGACGAGUGAGAUUCGGUUCGUUCAUUAUACGGUCAAAAACAAAAUGAUCACAAAGCUCUACCAUCGGGGAUACACGUAUUACCGCAGUAAGCAGGUUAAUCAGGCCUCCUAUUGGGUGUGCGACAGUACAAAGCGAUACAACUGCCGGGCGAAGAUCACGAUCUUCGGCGAUAAAAGCUUGUACAAAGUGACAAAUUCGUGGCAUACGCAUGGCCCGAUCUUCUCGAGGCAUCGGUGACAAUGAAUUCGUGUGAAAGCGCAAAACUAGUACUUCUUUAUUCGAGUAUUGACAUUCAGAUGUUGCCUAUGUGAUGCCACCUUGUUGUAACGGAACUGGAAAAGAGCAUUCACAUUUUCACCGAGGUUGAUCAUCGAGUCAACCGAUCAAGUUGUUAAUCGAAGAUACAUUAACAAAAUUAAUCAAUGCAAACUAUUCGUGGAUGUGCAAAUACUGUGUCAUUUCGUAGUCGUUCUUGUUUAAAAUAUCUGCUGAGAGACGUUUGAAAUGCAAGCAAAAGCAAAAUUAUGAACAUGCAUGUUUUUUAUUUUUUGUGCAGUACUAGAAUAUAAGACAUAUUUUUGCAAUGGAAAAGUUGAACGACGAGUUUUAGAUUUUUUUCAACAUGUUAAAUAAAUUUGUUUUUUUUUAUGAAAGUCUUUUUCUCACUACAUGCAAAUAUCGUAAAAUAAAUACUGCGGUAAACAAUUAUAAUGUAAAUAUGCGUGUUCCCACAGCACCAACUCUCGACGCACAAUUCGUUUUGAGCACUAGAGGAUCACUGCAGCUGUGUAUCGAUGGAUACACAUUCACUCGACACAUUGUGAAGGAGGACACCAUCUAUUGGCGCUGCACGCAAGCCCGGGC
Armigeres subalbatus is the source of this 3299-nucleotide long non-coding RNA. RefSeq lists it as uncharacterized. The record is from RefSeq and is a predicted model, not a curated record. NCBI's taxonomy places the organism in Eukaryota, Metazoa, Arthropoda, Insecta, Diptera, Culicidae. The transcript is spliced from 4 exons.